Etheostoma spectabile (orangethroat darter) is the source of this 78-nucleotide long non-coding RNA. RefSeq lists it as uncharacterized. NCBI's taxonomy places the organism in Eukaryota, Metazoa, Chordata, Actinopteri, Perciformes, Percidae. The record is from RefSeq and is a predicted model, not a curated record. The transcript is spliced from 3 exons.
UCUUGCCUCAACUUAAAGCAAUAGUUUGGAUAUUUUUAAGUGGGGCUGCAUGAGGUACUUAUCCAUAGUCAGUGUAUU